Molecule: unclassified non-coding RNA, 332 nt
Filed under: soil metagenome
Description: partial contains 5.8S ribosomal RNA, internal transcribed spacer 2, and large subunit ribosomal RNA
Rfam family: 5.8S ribosomal RNA (bases 1-120)
Source: RNAcentral
GAUGAAGAACGUAGCGAAACGCGAUAAGUAAUGUGAAUUGCAGAAUUCAGUGAAUCAUCGAAUCUUUGAACGCACAUUGCGCCCGCCAGUAUUCUGGCGGGCAUGCCUGUUCGAGCGUCAUUUCAACCCUCAAGCACAGCUUGGUGUUGGGACUCGCGUUAAUUCGCGUUCCUCAAAUUGAUUGGCGGUCACGUCGAGCUUCCAUAGCGUAGUAGUAAAACCCUCGUUACUGGUAAUCGUCGCGGCCACGCCGUUAAACCCCAACUUCUGAAUGUUGACCUCGGAUCAGGUAGGAAUACCCGCUGAACUUAAGCAUAUCAAUAAGCGGAGGA